Molecule: long non-coding RNA, 1197 nt
Filed under: Capra hircus (goat)
Lineage: Eukaryota; Metazoa; Chordata; Mammalia; Artiodactyla; Bovidae
Description: lncRNA (ENSCHIG00010018539.1)
Source: RNAcentral
UGUUUUUGUAAUUGCAGAUGUUUGUCAAGCGCUUAGAGAUACUAUUUGCAGGGAAGGUGUCAUAUAAAGUGAAGUUACUAUUGGCUCUACUAUCGCCAUGUCAAACAUUUCGAGCCUGAGGAAUACAGAUUCUUCAGCAGCAAAUGAAAAUGAAAUGAACAAAAUGCUUUUGAUUCAUUCCAGUAACACUGGCAAGUGAUCUUCUACAGCACCAUGAGGUGGGAAAACCUUGCUUAGUUUCCUCUACAACAUGGAUCAGAAAUGUAAAAAGAAAUAUUCAGUCCGAAACGGUAGUAACUUCUGAAUAUGGAACUAAAAGAAAACUUAAAUUCAUUUAACCUUUUCACAGAUGAGAAAAUAUACCUGAUGCCAACAUAGGUCAAAGGUUUUGCUGAAAAUCAUUCAGGUAGUGGAAGAGUCAAGCUCAGAACCCUGGUCUCUGAGUUCCCAGCUAAGGAUUUGUUUUAGUACAUUAUGUUACCUUAGUCUACCUGCAGCAAGAGUUUGAGGUCAUACAGCCUCUCUCUUCCACUAGGAUGUGCUUCAUAGCAGCAUCAGAAUUUGGGGGCCAGCUUGACAUGAACCUUAACAGACAUAGGCUUCCAAUCUUUGUAAGUUGUAUGGAGGGCACUGGGAAAAGAAAUGCCAUCCUGCUGGCUAAACCCACAUGAUAGAAAAAAUGAGGAAGGAUUUCAUAAAAAACGAAAAAUAUGAAGACAUUGGGUUGUAAGAAGCACUAAUAUCAAAGCUUUGACUUAUGCUCAUAAACAUUGCCAAGCAAAUUUUUUAUGUUCUCAAUUCUACCUCUUCACAGACUGAAAUGUUCACUAGUUGGAUUCCAUUUCAAAGUUAAAAUUCCAAUUCGGUGAAGUUGCGAUGAAGAUCUGAGUUGACUCUUGUUGUUGUAUGACCUAAGUCUUCUAUCCAUGCCAACUUUUUCAUUUUUUUCUGUGUUGUGCAUUAAUGAUGGCUUCUUUUCCCCUUGAAGUUUAACUCCAUAAAAUAUCCUCUAUAACUGUUCCACUUGUCACAGUCCAGACAAUUCUCCAAUCAAAUAGUCCUGUUUAGCACAAUACCUCCUCUCAGAAAGCCAAAAAAAUAGAUAUGGGGCAAACAAAGUGCAGCUGUGUUGAAGCUGUUUAAUAGCCCACCAAUGUACAGCCCACCAAUGAGGGGGCGGGCAGUGGAUGGGGUGGG